UGAUGAUCUCAUCACAAACUGGUGUAGGAAAAAAUACUGUCAAUUCGACAAUUUGCGACUACAAAACUGAAGGUAUAAUAAAAUCCCCUAACAAAAAAAAGAUCCGACUGUCUAUCAUACACAAAACUGAUGAUUUUGAGAAAGACGUUGUACGCCAAAAAGUUUAUAGUUUUUGGUUUUGACGUGAGGUGCCUACGAUUGACAAAAUUUUGAAGACCAUAAAUGAUGAUUCAGGCCUAGGAAAUUAUUCACGAAGCACACUUCACCGACUUCUUAAAGAAAUGAAUUUUGUUGAUGCAAAGAGAGGGCGAAACAGUGCUCUGAUCGAAAGGGACGACAUUGUUAGUUGGAGGAAUCGUUACCUGGAACAAAUUCGUAAAUUCCGAAAGGAAGGCCGGUCAAUAUAUUAUUUAGCCGAGACUUGGGUCAAUGCGGGAGAGUGUAUAAAUAAAAC
Molecule: non-coding RNA, 454 nt
Organism: Cinara cedri
Lineage: Eukaryota; Metazoa; Arthropoda; Insecta; Hemiptera; Aphididae
Source: the annotation of a GenBank genome assembly